Molecule: ribosomal RNA, 305 nt
Filed under: uncultured bacterium
Lineage: Bacteria
Description: bacterial SSU rRNA
Rfam family: Bacterial small subunit ribosomal RNA
Source: RNAcentral
GGCGCCUACGGGGCGCAGCAGUGAGGAAUAUUGGUCAAUGGGCGGGAGCCUGAACCAGCCAAGUCGCGUGAAGGAAGAAGGUACUUAGUAUUGUAAACCUCUUUAGGCGGGGAGCAAUGCCGGGCACGCGUGUCCGGAGGGAGAGUACCCGCAGAAUAAGCAUCGGCUAACUCCGUGCCAGCAGCCGCGGUAAUACGGAGGAUGCGAGCGUUAUCCGGAUUUAUUGGGUUUAAAGGGUGCGUAGGCGGAUUUUUAAGUCAGCGGUAAAAUGUCCGGGCUCAACCCGGGCCGGCCGUUGAAACUGG